Molecule: ribosomal RNA, 616 nt
Filed under: uncultured bacterium
Lineage: Bacteria
Description: bacterial SSU rRNA
Rfam family: Bacterial small subunit ribosomal RNA
Source: RNAcentral
CCGGAUACCCCCGGGCGCCGCAUGGCGCCCGGGCUAAAGCCCCGACGGGAGGGGAUGGCUCCGCGGCCCAUCAGGUAGACGGCGGGGUGACGGCCCACCGUGCCGACAACGGGUAGCCGGGUUGAGAGACCGACCGGCCAGAUUGGGACUGAGACACGGCCCAGACUCCUACGGGAGGCAGCAGUGGGGAAUCUUGCGCAAUGGGGGGAACCCUGACGCAGCGACGCCGCGUGCGGGACGGAGGCCUUCGGGUCGUAAACCGCUUUCAGCAGGGAAGAGUCAAGACUGUACCUGCAGAAGAAGCCCCGGCUAACUACGUGCCAGCAGCCGCGGUAAUACGUAGGGGGCGAGCGUUAUCCGGACUCAUUGGGCGUAAAGCGCGCGUAGGCGGCCCGGCAGGCCGGGGGUCGAAGCGGGGGGCUCAACCCCCCGAAGCCCCCGGAACCUCCGCGGCUUGGGUCCGGUAGGGGAGGGUGGAACACCCGGUGUAGCGGUGGAAUGCGCAGAUAUCGGGUGGAACACCGGUGGCGAAGGCGGCCCUCUGGGCCGAGACCGACGCUGAGGCGCGAAAGCUGGGGGAGCGAACAGGAUUAGAUACCCUGGUAGUCCCAGCCGU